GACGAACGCUGGCGGCGUGCUUAACACAUGCAAGUCGAACGGAGUAUUCACGAAAGAGGUUUCGGCCAAUGGAGUGAAUUACUUAGUGGCGGACUGGUGAGUAACGCGUGAGGAACCUGCCUUUCAGUGGGGGACAACAGUUGGAAACGACUGCUAAUACCGCAUAAUACAUUUAGGGGACAUCCCUUGAAUGUCAAAGAUUUAUUGCUGAAAGAUGGCCUCGCGUCUGAUUAGCUAGUUGGUGAGGUAACGGCCCACCAAGGCGACGAUCAGUAGCCGGACUGAGAGGUUGACCGGCCACAUUGGGACUGAGAUACGGCCCAGACUCCUACGGGAGGCAGCAGUGGGGAAUAUUGGGCAAUGGACGAAAGUCUGACCCAGCAACGCCGCGUGAAGGAAGAAGGCUUUCGGGUUGUAAACUUCUUUUAAGGGGGAAGAGUAGAAGACGGUACCCCUUGAAUAAGCCACGGCUAACUACGUG
Molecule: ribosomal RNA, 481 nt
Filed under: uncultured organism
Description: bacterial SSU rRNA
Rfam family: Bacterial small subunit ribosomal RNA
Source: RNAcentral